GGAAGUAUUGUAAGGGGAAGAAGAAAGAUGAGAGAUCUCUUCAUCUUUCUUCUUCCCCUUACAAUACUUCC
Pelobates cultripes (western spadefoot toad) is the source of this 71-nucleotide non-coding RNA. Lineage: Eukaryota; Metazoa; Chordata; Amphibia; Anura; Pelobatidae. The record is from the annotation of a GenBank genome assembly.